This 255-nucleotide ribosomal RNA is filed under the name uncultured bacterium. RNAcentral's name for it is "partial 16S ribosomal RNA". It matches the Rfam family "Bacterial small subunit ribosomal RNA", at positions 524 to 776 of the family's 1533-position model. The record is from RNAcentral.
UACGAGGGGGGCGAGCGUUGUUCGGAAUUAUUGGGCGUAAAGGGUGCGUAGGCGGUUCCGCAAGUCCUGUGUGAAAUCUUCGGGCUCAACUCGAAGUCUGCACGGGAAACUGCGGGGCUUUGAGUGUGGGAGAGGUGAGUGGAAUUCCCGGUGUAGCGGUGAAAUGGCGUAGAUAUCGGGAGGAACACCUGUGGCGAAAGCGGCUCACUGGACCAUAACUGACGCUGAUGCACGAAAGCUGGGGGAGCAAACAGG